AUUUAGUGGAUUGGGGUUUUAGAAGUAACCAUUCAUUAUCUGUGAGGUUACGCUUUCCUCUAAUCUUCUCUAGUUUAGGAAUCAUUAGUGUGUUUUCUAAUGCCAAUCCUUGUUGUUGUAUCCAUAAAUACCUGAUGGCACAAGUACUCCAGUUACUUAGACCUGUAGUGAAUUUCAUAGUUGCAACAGUUAAAUUAUCUAAAUAAUUAUACAUUGAUUUAUCUAAAUCCAAUCCUAUAACCUGUGAUUUAACAACAAUUGGAGCCCAGUUUGCAGUAGCAUGGAAACCAGUCCCUAUAUGCAUACUGGCUGUGUUUAACUUAUUCUUGAGGGUCUCCAUAUCUAUAACUAUUUAGUAUACUCAUAGUGGUUCCAGCACCAUCUAACAGUGUGUCAUACCAUUCCCUUUUCUGCCUUUUGUUUGUUGUGUUACAUAAUGUUACAACAGGAGUAGUGAUUUUUAAUGACACAUGUACAGCUUGUAAGAAGGCAGUUGUAUUAAUACAUGUGGACGGAAUAGGUGUGUGUGUGUGUGUCGUUGUUGACUUUUGGUUCUAUGGUAGAGGAUAAAGGACAGUAAUAAGGUGUAAAAAUAUAAGGUAGUGUAUAGUUCUCAAUUGUAGUGUCGUUCAUAAUGACUAACAUUUGUCCCCUUUUCCAAUUAAUGAUACCAGUUAUAUAAUCAUUAUUAAAAGUAAUAAGGCCUGUCUGUUUACAUUGAUAUGCAACCUUAACUGUGCACAUUUCUGCGUUAUAAGAUCUAACAAUUUUCUGUGAACCUUCAAACAAACAUAAUGCAUCGGUUUCAUUAGCUGUAGACACAUUUCAUAUGGGUAACUGGUACUUAUAAGGGUUACUAUUUGUCCAAUUCAUCCAAAUGCGUUCAGUGAAUGAAUGAUUGCAUAUUACAUGCUGAUAGAAAGGUGGUGGAGAAAGGUUCUUGAGGGGGCGUGUGUGACGAAUGCUAGAUGAGGGGCUAAGGCCUAAUUGGGCUGGGGGUAUUGAAGAAUUGUUCAUCAUGUCAGAGUCUUUUUCCAGAACUUGCCAUUGACUUGUACUCAUAAUGGCAUUCAAGGAACAAUAUCAGAGGGAGUAUAACAACUCCAGAAAGCAUAGCGCACAACAUAAUCUUGGUCUCAGGUACGUAUGAUCCUCUCAAUCUACGAUAUGGUGUAAAAGCCAUGAUGCUUCGCUGAGGAGAAAUUCUUCUGUUUCCGAGCGAGGAGUGGUGUUGUCUUCCUUGGUUCCCCUCUUUGGACACAGCUUCACUCGGGAUGCGUGAAUCCAGAUGUCAUGGGAAUCUGUGAGGACAGCGGUUCUGGGUACAGCAAUCACAGUAGCAGGUGGUCCAAAAGGGUAUCCUCCUUUCUUGGUCCUGUUCAGCUGACGGAUAUACACCUUGUCACCGGGCUGGUAUGAAUGAGUAGGUUCCUGUGAAGGUAAGGGAAAACUGCGAAGAAACAUUGUCAUACAUACCAUUCAGUUUUAUCAACAACUCCUGUACAUAUUGUUCUUGUAUUAGCUGUAAAAUCCACAGACAUUAUAACAAGCGGUUCCCUGGCCCAGGGUGUGGGAAAAGGUCAUCCCAUCAAAAUCUCAAAUGGAGAUAAUUUAGUCACCUUGUGAGGAAUCACUCUUAUCUCAGCUAAAAUAGCUGGUAGAUAUCUAGUCCAAUUUACCCAUGUUCCUGGGUAAAUUCUGGGCUUUUCCUUAAUAGUCCUAUUCAUCCUUUCAACUACCCCUGUAUUCUGUGGAUGAUAGGGUAUAUGAAACUGCCAGGUAACUUGCAAGAAUUUAGCAAGUUCCUGGGCAACCCUACUUGCAAAUACCGGGCCAUUAUCAGAGCCAAUCUGCAGAGGGCAGCCAUACCUGGGAAUAAUUUCAGUAACAAUAAUCUUCACUAGCAUCUUCCCUAGAUAUCACAAAGGCCUCAUGCCAUCUACUAAACUGAUUAACUAUGACCAGUAAGUAUUGCUGUUUCUUACCAAUUACAUGAAUAAAAUCAAUCUGUAAGUGUGUAAAAAGAGCAGUGUUCACACGAUCUUACAAAAGACUGUACAUGCUGCCUGAGAUUCCUAAUAUAAAAUGAAUUCAUGAAGAAUUGAAUGGUGCUUGCUAUGUGCCUGACUGAUGAAAAUAAAUCAGCUUGCUUCAAGUAUGCCUAUUCUUCAAGUAUGCCUAUUCUCCCCUCUUUAGAGAACAGAUCAUUUUGAUCUUUCUCUAAACCUUGUUUAAUCCAAAAGACAGAUUCUGGGUAUUUAAAAAAAAAAAAAAAAAAAUCUCAUAACCACUGAAGCGCUGGGCUGUCAUGUGUUGUGUGGUGAGAUUUGUCAUCAGCUGAGUGACCUGGUGACUGGCAUGAAGUAUUGUAGGAUGCCCUAGUGUGAUAGUAGUAGCAGUUUCAACAGCCAUUGCACAUGCUAUCAAUGCUCUGAGACACGCCGGCAUACCCUUUACCGGAGCUCGAACUACUUUGGAAAAGAAUGCUAUGGGACGCAUACCGCCUCCUUGCUCUUGUGCACAG
Pelobates cultripes (western spadefoot toad) is the source of this 2524-nucleotide non-coding RNA. Lineage: Eukaryota; Metazoa; Chordata; Amphibia; Anura; Pelobatidae. The record is from the annotation of a GenBank genome assembly.